This 281-nucleotide unclassified non-coding RNA is filed under the name Mycosphaerella sp. Its description in RNAcentral is "partial contains 5.8S ribosomal RNA, internal transcribed spacer 2, and large subunit ribosomal RNA". The stretch from base 1 to 71 matches the Rfam family "5.8S ribosomal RNA", at positions 84 to 154 of the family's 154-position model. Lineage: Eukaryota; Fungi; Ascomycota; Dothideomycetes; Mycosphaerellales; Mycosphaerellaceae. The record is from RNAcentral.
GUGAGUCAUCGAAUCUUUGAACGCACAUUGCGCCCUUUGGUAUUCCAAGGGGCAUGCCUGUUCGAGCGUCAUUUCACCCACUCAAGCCUGGGCUUGGUGUUGGGCUAUGCGGCCUGCCGCAGGCCCCAAUGUCCCCCCGGCGGCGUCGUCUGCCUGUUAGCGUUGCGACCAUCAAUUCGCUAGCGAGGCCAGAGGGCUCAUGCCGUUAAAUCAUUAAGCAAGGUUGACCUCUGAUCAGGCAGGGAUACCCGCUGAACUUAAGCAUAUCAAUAAGCGGAGGA